RNAcentral lists this ribosomal RNA (522 nucleotides) under uncultured bacterium. Its description in RNAcentral is "bacterial SSU rRNA". It matches the Rfam family "Bacterial small subunit ribosomal RNA", at positions 501 to 1023 of the family's 1533-position model. The record is from RNAcentral.
CUACGUGCCAGCAGCCGCGGUAAUACGGAGGGUGCGAGCGUUAAUCGGAAUAACUGGGCGUAAAGGGCACGCAGGCGGUUAUUUAAGUGAGGUGUGAAAGCCCCGGGCUUAACCUGGGAAUUGCAUUUCAGACUGGGUAACUAGAGUACUUUAGGGAGGGGUAGAAUUCCACGUGUAGCGGUGAAAUGCGUAGAGAUGUGGAGGAAUACCGAAGGCGAAGGCAGCCCCUUGGGAAUGUACUGACGCUCAUGUGCGAAAGCGUGGGGAGCAAACAGGAUUAGAUACCCUGGUAGUCCACGCUGUAAACGCUGUCGAUUUGGGGAUUGGGCUUAAAGCUUGGUGCCCGUAGCUAACGUGAUAAAUCGACCGCCUGGGGAGUACGGCCGCAAGGUUAAAACUCAAAUGAAUUGACGGGGGCCCGCACAAGCGGUGGAGCAUGUGGUUUAAUUCGAUGCAACGCGAAGAACCUUACCUACUCUUGACAUCCAUGGAAUCCAGUAGAGAUACGGGAGUGCUUCGGGA